UCCCAAGGGCGGCAGCCUAACCAUGCAAGUCGAGCGGUAGCACAGAGAGCUUGCUCUCGGGUGACGAGCGGCGGACGGGUGAGUAAUGUCUGGGAAACUGCCUGAUGGAGGGGGAUAACUACUGGAAACGGUAGCUAAUACCGCAUAACGUCGCAAGACCAAAGUGGGGGACCUUCGGGCCUCAUGCCAUCAGAUGUGCCCAGAUGGGAUUAGCUAGUAGGUGGGGUAACGGCUCACCUAGGCGACGAUCCCUAGCUGGUCUGAGAGGAUGACCAGCCACACUGGAACUGAGACACGGUCCAGACUCCUACGGGAGGCAGCAGUGGGGAAUAUUGCACAAUGGGCGCAAGCCUGAUGCAGCCAUGCCGCGUGUGUGAAGAAGGCCUUCGGGUUGUAAAGCACUUUCAGCGGGGAGGAAGGCGGUGAGGUUAAUAACCUCAUCGAUUGACGUUACCCGCAGAAGAAGCACCGGCUAACUCCGUGCCAGCAGCCGCGGUAAUACGGAGGGUGCAAGCGUUAAUCGGAAUUACUGGGCGUAAAGCGCACGCAGGCGGUCUGUCAAGUCGGAUGUGAAAUCCCCGGGCUCAACCUGGGAACUGCAUUCGAAACUGGCAGGCUAGAGUCUUGUAGAGGGGGGUAGAAUUCCAGGUGUAGCGGUGAAAUGCGUAGAGAUCUGGAGGAAUACCGGUGGCGAAGGCGGCCCCCUGGACAAAGACUGACGCUCAGGUGCGAAAGCGUGGGGAGCAAACAGGAUUAGAUACCCUGGUAGUCCACGCUGUAAACGAUGUCGAUUUGGAGGUUGUGCCCUUGAGGCGUGGCUUCCGGAGCUAACGCGUUAAAUCGACCGCCUGGGGAGUACGGCCGCAAGGUUAAAACUCAAAUGAAUUGACGGGGGCCCGCACAAGCGGUGGAGCAUGUGGUUUAAUUCGAUGCAACGCGAAGAACCUUACCUGGUCUUGACAUCCACAGAACUUUCCAGAGAUGGAUUGGUGCCUUCGGGAACUGUGAGACAGGUGCUGCAUGGCUGUCGUCAGCUCGUGUUGUGAAAUGUUGGGUUAAGUCCCGCAACGAGCGCAACCCUUAUCCUUUGUUGCCAGCGGUUAGGCCGGGAACUCAAAGGAGACUGCCAGUGAUAAACUGGAGGAAGGUGGGGAUGACGUCAAGUCAUCAUGGCCCUUACGACCAGGGCUACACACGUGCUACAAUGGCAUAUACAAAGAGAAGCGACCUCGCGAGAGCAAGCGGACCUCAUAAAGUAUGUCGUAGUCCGGAUUGGAGUCUGCAACUCGACUCCAUGAAGUCGGAAUCGCUAGUAAUCGUAGAUCAGAAUGCUACGGUGAAUACGUUCCCGGGCCUUGUACACACCGCCCGUCACACCAUGGGAGUGGGUUGCAAAAGAAGUAGGUAGCUUAACCUUCGGGAGGGCGCUACCACUUUUGAUACGG
Molecule: ribosomal RNA, 1445 nt
Filed under: Klebsiella pneumoniae
Lineage: Bacteria; Pseudomonadati; Pseudomonadota; Gammaproteobacteria; Enterobacterales; Enterobacteriaceae
Description: bacterial SSU rRNA
Rfam family: Bacterial small subunit ribosomal RNA
Source: RNAcentral